CCUACGGGUGGCAGCAGUGAGGAAUAUUGGUCAAUGGGCGUAAGCCUGAACCAGCCAAGCCGCGUGAGGGAUGAAGGUUCUAUGGAUCGUAAACCUCUUUUAUAAGGGAGUAAAUUGUGGGACGUGUCCUAUUUUGUAUGUACCGUAUGAAUCAGGAUCGGCUAACUCCGUGCCAGCAGCCGCGGUAAUACGGAGGAUCCGAGCGUUAUCCGGAUUUAUUGGGUUUAAAGGGUGCGUAGGCGGCCUUUUAAGUCAGCGGUGAAAGUCUGUGGCUCAACCAUAGAAUUGCCGUUGAAACUGGGGGGCUUGAGUGUGUAUGAGGCAGGCGGAAUGCGUGGUGUAGCGGUGAAAUGCUUAGAUA
Molecule: ribosomal RNA, 361 nt
Filed under: uncultured bacterium
Lineage: Bacteria
Description: partial 16S ribosomal RNA
Rfam family: Bacterial small subunit ribosomal RNA
Source: RNAcentral